Small nuclear RNA from Dermacentor albipictus, 199 nucleotides. RefSeq annotates it as U2 spliceosomal RNA. The record is from RefSeq and is a predicted model, not a curated record. Lineage: Eukaryota; Metazoa; Arthropoda; Arachnida; Ixodida; Ixodidae.
AGACGUGGCCGACGUGGGUCAAAGUGCGGUAUCUGUUCUUAUCAGUUUAAUAUCCGAUACGGGUUGUAUUUAUACCAAAGAUAUUAAGAUUAUUUGUGCAAGUUGGCAGAGUGAUUAAAGCCUGCUUCCCCUCCACCACUGGUCGGCGUGCGUAUGAGGAUAAAUUUUAGAUUUACACUGCUCGAUAGACGCACGCCAU